AGGACGAACGCUGGCGGCGUGCUUAACACAUGCAAGUCGAGCGGUAAGGCCUUUCGGGGUACACGAGCGGCGAACGGGUGAGUAACACGUGGGUGAUCUGCCCUGCACUCUGGGAUAAGCCUGGGAAACUGGGUCUAAUACCGGAUAUGACCUCAGGUUGCAUGACUUGGGGUGGAAAGAUUUAUCGGUGCGAGGAGUGGGGCCCCGCGGACCUAUCGAGUCGUUUGGUUGGGUAGGGGUAAGUCGGACCUAACCGAAGGGCGAACGGACGGGUAGCCGACCGUGAGAGGGUCGACCGGCCACACGUCGGGACUGGAGACCACGGCCCAGACUCCGUACGGGAGGCAGCAGGUGGGAAU
This 359-nucleotide ribosomal RNA is filed under the name uncultured soil bacterium. Its description in RNAcentral is "bacterial SSU rRNA". It matches the Rfam family "Bacterial small subunit ribosomal RNA", at positions 26 to 362 of the family's 1533-position model. The record is from RNAcentral.